Molecule: unclassified non-coding RNA, 315 nt
Filed under: plant metagenome
Description: partial contains 5.8S ribosomal RNA, internal transcribed spacer 2, and large subunit ribosomal RNA
Rfam family: 5.8S ribosomal RNA (bases 1-105)
Source: RNAcentral
AAAAUGCGAUAAGUAAUGUGAAUUGCAGAAUUCAGUGAAUCAUCGAAUCUUUGAACGCACAUUGCGCCCGCCAGUAUUCUGGCGGGCAUGCCUGUUCGAGCGUCAUUUCAACCCUCAAGCCCCCGGGUUUGGUGUUGGGGAUCGAGCUGCGGUUCUACCGCGUCCCGGCCCCGAAAUCUAGUGGCGGUCUCGCUGCAGCCUCCAUUGCGUAGUAGCUAACACCUCGCAACUGGAACGCGGCGCGGCCAAGCCGUUAAACCCCCAACUUCUGAAUGUUGACCUCGGAUCAGGUAGGAAUACCCGCUGAACUUAAGC